Long non-coding RNA from Oncorhynchus mykiss (rainbow trout), 1714 nucleotides. Lineage: Eukaryota; Metazoa; Chordata; Actinopteri; Salmoniformes; Salmonidae. The record is from Ensembl.
AAUGGCUUGGCAUUCCCAGAGAGGUCAGGGGAGGCAGUCUGAGGGAUUGUCUCAAAGAAAGUACGUGCCCAGGAGGCCCCUGGUCCAAAGAAACCUGUCUGUCUGUGGGGAGAAUGAAGUGGACCAGUUACUAGACCUCCUUUCUACUCUCAACGAAGAUAGGCCUCCCUACUUAAGUGUCUCUGAUGAGGUGCUGGACAGGCACACAUCUGAGCCUGUCUUGAGACCGAGAAACCUGAGCCGCAACACUGAACGUGGUCCUGCUUGGAGUGCCAAGCUUGGGAAGUUGUCCCAUCAGGGAAGUGAGGAGAAAGGGUCAGAGGUCAAUUUGACUGACAGGGAUAUCCUUGUUCCUAUUCGGUUACAAGGGGGUGCUUCAUUGACCUCUGGUCAUCCUUAUGGCUCAAUUGCGGGUCGAGGUGAUGGUGGCAACUGUGUCAAUUGGCUUGGGAAAUGGGGCAGGGGACGUCAACAGCCAGUGGAGAGAGAAUGUGUCUCUUUUGUCCAAAAAUGCAACAGCGGUUCACUAGGUUCUACCUUUCCCGGAGAUGCUCCUUUCUACCCUGAAGUCCUCGACAUGCUAGACAGGCGUCAGGGGGAACAUGUAAAGCCUGCCUGUCCGAAGCAGAAUGAAAACGUGUCAACAUUCCAGGAUCUACUAGAGUCCUCCUGGAGAUCUGCGAGCUUGCAUAGGUCAAUGUUGGAUCUGGAGAUCGGCUUAUCAUUUGUGGAUCUAGGCCUACUACCCCAGGCACUGAAUACCUCUGGAGACUUGGCCUUAUCUCCUCUGAAUCUUGGAUCUCCUUUAGAUCACGAAUCUCAUGGGCCUAGGCCCUCUAUCUCUUGCAAUGCAAAAAUGUCAUGCUCCAUCAUCCACUGUCACAAAGGGGGCAGAAGGUGUUCUACCAGCAAGGAUGGGUCUUCCACAAGUCUAUAUAAGGCUAACAGGGAAACCGAGUUCUCUGAACUCCAUCUUCAAAGCGAAAUCGCAAAGAAUGCUGGACAACAAUCAACAAACAUCCAUUCUCCUAGUGUAUCAGUGAAGGCACACAUUAAACCAUGGAGGAAAGCUGAAAGAAAGGCAGAAAAGAAGACUCAUGUUUUUGCGUCGGCCAUGCGUGGCUCAGAUUGCCUCUCUCAGUAUAGCUUCAGCGGUAGACAAAACAGCACAGAGUACCCUGAGCAUAAUACAAAAUGGUCCAAUGAAUUCUCAGGUCAAGCUAAGUCAGAUUCAGUGGGCACUGUGCAUAGGUUUUACCCUACUUUAAAAGGGGUGGAGGAUUUGUUUGAGGUGCCGAGAGUCACAACAAGUAAUCCAGCUGUGUCACAUUCUCUCUUGUGGGAAGAAAGACUUGGAAUCACUAAGAAUUUGGGUCAAAUUACCCUCUCGGACAGAGAGAGGGCAGCUCACCUGAAGCGAAGCACUCCGAAUGCGCCAAGCCAAUACAACAGAGAGGACCUCUCUCUGCUCCUCCAUAGCCAUGGCAGAAGAACUCCUGGGUCAACUACUCCUGAAAGGCAAUGUCAGAUCGACCCAUUAGUUACAACACACACAGGCACAUUGCAUACAUUGACAGGAGGUGCCAGUGGUGAAUUUCUGGGUGAAAGAAAUCUGUCUGCAGUUCAUCAGUCCUUGCCUAUGCCUAUUGACGCAGUAGAGAUUCAUAGCCCCAGUCUUGUGGAGACAAUAGAGGACAGGUAUGGGACUCCUUAG